Transfer RNA from Psychromonas sp. CNPT3, 73 nucleotides. It matches the Rfam family "tRNA". From Rfam's summary of the family: Transfer RNA (tRNA) molecules are approximately 80 nucleotides in length. The record is from Rfam. NCBI's taxonomy places the organism in Bacteria, Pseudomonadati, Pseudomonadota, Gammaproteobacteria, Alteromonadales, Psychromonadaceae.
GCUUCGUUAGCUCAGUCGGUAGAGCAGAGGAUUGAAAAUCCUCGUGUCCUUGGUUCAAUUCCGAGACGAAGCA